Molecule: small nucleolar RNA, 139 nt
Organism: Artibeus jamaicensis (Jamaican fruit-eating bat)
Lineage: Eukaryota; Metazoa; Chordata; Mammalia; Chiroptera; Phyllostomidae
Source: RefSeq, a predicted model, not a curated record
AACCUCUGAAAAGUUCUCAUUAGGCCUUUCGCUAACGACCCACGAAACCGUCGAGAAAGGGCCAGGCAAAAAAAGCUCCACUUCUGGGUGAAGUGGCAACAUGUUGUGUUGUUUCGCUUCAACUGGUGGUGUGACAAGG